This 224-nucleotide long non-coding RNA is filed under the name Elaeis guineensis (African oil palm). RNAcentral's name for it is "long non-coding RNA (EGUI_LNC047293)". Lineage: Eukaryota; Viridiplantae; Streptophyta; Magnoliopsida; Arecales; Arecaceae. The record is from RNAcentral.
AUGAACUUCAUCAAGUUCAAUUUUACAGGUAUUAGCUCCUUCACCAAGAAACUUCUUUUUCAAAAAGACUGUCCGACUGCUAACAAAUACUUUUUGCUCUACAGUGAGAUAGAAGUAGUACCCUUUAGUUUCCUUUAGAUACCCUAUGAACAAGCAUCUAUCAGACUUCAAUCCAAGCUUAUCUAUCUUUUAACGCUUGACACAAGCUGGACACCCCCAAACCC